Molecule: ribosomal RNA, 484 nt
Filed under: uncultured bacterium
Lineage: Bacteria
Description: partial 16S ribosomal RNA
Rfam family: Bacterial small subunit ribosomal RNA
Source: RNAcentral
AUUGAACGCUGGCGGCAGGCCUAACACAUGCAAGUCGAGCGGAUGAAGGGAGCUUGCUCCUGGAUUCAGCGGCGGACGGGUGAGUAAUGCCUAGGAAUAUGCCUGGUAGUGGGGGAUAACGUCCGGAAACGGGCGCUAAUACUGCAUACGUCCUGAGGGAGAAAGUGGGGGAUCUUCGGACCUCACGCUAUCAGAUGAGCCUAGGGGGGAUUAGCUAGUUGGUGGGGUAAAGGCCUACCAAGGCGACGAUCCGUAACUGGUCUGAGAGGAUGAUCAGUCACACUGGAACUGAGACACGGUCCAGGCUCCUACGGGAGGCAGCAGUGGGGAAUAUUGGACAAUGGGCGAAAGCCUGAUCCAGCCAUGCCGCGUGUGUGAAGAAGGUCUUCGGAUUGUAAAGCACUUUAAGUUGGGAGGAAGGGCAGUAAGUUAAUACCUUGCUGUUUUGACGUUACCAACAGAAUAAGCACCGGCUAACUUCGUG